RNAcentral lists this transfer RNA (61 nucleotides) under Aeriscardovia aeriphila. It matches the Rfam family "tRNA", at positions 7 to 64 of the family's 71-position model. Rfam says of the family: Transfer RNA (tRNA) molecules are approximately 80 nucleotides in length. Lineage: Bacteria; Bacillati; Actinomycetota; Actinomycetes; Bifidobacteriales; Bifidobacteriaceae. The record is from RNAcentral.
AUUAGCUCAGUUGGUAGAGCGUUCGACUGUUAAUCGAAAUGUCGCCGGUUCGAGUCCAGCA